Acyrthosiphon pisum (pea aphid) is the source of this 675-nucleotide long non-coding RNA. RefSeq lists it as uncharacterized. The record is from RefSeq and is a predicted model, not a curated record. The transcript has 3 exons. NCBI's taxonomy places the organism in Eukaryota, Metazoa, Arthropoda, Insecta, Hemiptera, Aphididae.
GUUUUUCUUUUUUAGUUGAAGUAUUAAGAAUUAAUCGUGUUUCUCUUGGUUUUAAAAUAUUAUAUUGUUCUUUUAAAUUGUUUAUAAAUCUUAAUAUUAUAAUCUAUAUUGUGUUUUUUUAUUUUGUAUGAUAUACCAUACUAUUGUCCAACUGUGAAGAAGUAGGUAGGUAGCCAAUUUUAAUAGUGCAGAUCUUCGAAGACCAGAAUGUGUAGAUGUGAAUUGGAAAGUGGCAACAUAUACCUAAUUCAGACUUCAGAGAUUCAGUUAGACAUGAUUUAUGGAAAUUGGAUUCAUUAAUUUUUGGACAUUCAAAAAUAUACCAUACUACUAUAGUACUAUUGUCUGAUUGUGAAGAAGCAGGUAGUCAAUUUUAAUAGUGCAGAUCUUCGAAGACCAGAAUGUGUAGAUGUGAAUUGGAAAGUGGCAACAUAUACCUAAUUCAGACUUCAGAGAUUUAGUUAGACAUGAUUUAUAGAAAUUGGAUUCAUUAAUUUUUGGACAUUCAAAACUAUACCAUACUACUAUAGUACUAUUGUCUGAUUGUGAAGAAGCAGGUAGUCCAUUUUAAUAGUGCAGAUCUUCGAAGACCAGGAUGUGUAUAUGUGAAUUGGGAAAGUGGCAACAUAUACCUAGUUCAGACUUCAGAAAUUUAGUUAGACAUGAGUUAUGGAA